GUAGGUGGCAAGCGUUGUCCGGAAUUAUUGGGCGUAAAGCGCGCGCAGGCGGUUCUUUAAGUCUGAUGUGAAAGCCCACGGCUCAGCCGUGGAGGGUCAUUGGAAACUGGAGAACUUGAGUACAGAAGAGGAAAGCGGAAUUCCACGUGUAGCGGUGAAAUGCGUAGAGAUGUGGAGGAACACCAGUGGCGAAGGCGGCUUUCUGGUCUGUAACUGACGCUGAGGCGCGAAAGCGUGGGGGGAGCAAACAGGAUUAGAUACCCUGGUAGUCCACGCCGUAAACGAUGAGUGCUAAGUGUUAGGGGGUUUCCGCCCCCCCCUUAGUGCUGCAGCUAACGCAUUAAGCACUCCGCCUGGGAGUACGGCCGCAAGGCUG
RNAcentral lists this ribosomal RNA (376 nucleotides) under uncultured organism. Its description in RNAcentral is "partial 16S ribosomal RNA". It matches the Rfam family "Bacterial small subunit ribosomal RNA", at positions 527 to 896 of the family's 1533-position model. The record is from RNAcentral.